CAUGGAGUUUGAUCCUGGCUCAGAUUGAACGCUGGCGGAAUGCUUUACACAUGCAAGUCGAACGGUAGAGGGGGCAACCCCUCGAGAGUGGCGAACGGGUGAGUAAUAUAUCGGAACGUGCCCAGUCGUGGGGGAUAACGCAGUGAAAAUUACGCUAAUACCGCAUACGAUCUAAGGAUGAAAGCGGGGGAUCGCAAGACCUCGCGCGAUUGGAGCGGCCGAUAUCAGAUUAGGUAGUUGGUGGAGUAAAGGCUCACCAAGCCAACGAUCUGUAGCUGGUCUGAGAGGACGACCAGCCACACUGGAACUGAGACACGGUCCAGACUCUACGGGAGCAGCAGUGGGGAAUAUUGGGCAAUGGACGCAAGUCUGACCCCAGCCCAUGCCGCGUGCAGGAUGAAGUCGUUAUGCGUUAGUAAACUGCUUUUUAAGACAGGUAACGAAACGUACUCUUAGCG
RNAcentral lists this ribosomal RNA (458 nucleotides) under uncultured Limnohabitans sp. RNAcentral's name for it is "bacterial SSU rRNA". It matches the Rfam family "Bacterial small subunit ribosomal RNA", at positions 1 to 466 of the family's 1533-position model. Lineage: Bacteria; Pseudomonadati; Pseudomonadota; Betaproteobacteria; Burkholderiales; Comamonadaceae. The record is from RNAcentral.